RNAcentral lists this ribosomal RNA (636 nucleotides) under uncultured Psychrobacter sp. RNAcentral describes it as "bacterial SSU rRNA". It matches the Rfam family "Bacterial small subunit ribosomal RNA", at positions 814 to 1449 of the family's 1533-position model. Lineage: Bacteria; Pseudomonadati; Pseudomonadota; Gammaproteobacteria; Moraxellales; Moraxellaceae. The record is from RNAcentral.
UACUAGUCGUUGGGUCCCUUGAGGACUUAGUGACGCAGCUAACGCAAUAAGUAGACCGCCUGGGGAGUACGGCCGCAAGGUUAAAACUCAAAUGAAUUGACGGGGGCCCGCACAAGCGGUGGAGCAUGUGGUUUAAUUCGAUGCAACGCGAAGAACCUUACCUGGUCUUGACAUACACAGAAUCUUGUAGAGAUACGAGAGUGCCUUCGGGAAUUGUGAUACAGGUGCUGCAUGGCUGUCGUCAGCUCGUGUCGUGAGAUGUUGGGUUAAGUCCAGCAACGAGCGCAACCCUUGUCCUUAGUUACCAGCACUUCGGGUGGGAACUCUAAGGAUACUGCCAGUGACAAACUGGAGGAAGGCGGGGACGACGUCAAGUCAUCAUGGCCCUUACGACCAGGGCUACACACGUGCUACAAUGGUAGGUACAGAGGGCAGCUACACAGCGAUGUGAUGCGAAUCUCAAAAAGCCUAUCGUAGUCCAGAUUGGAGUCUGCAACUCGACUCCAUGAAGUAGGAAUCGCUAGUAAUCGCGGAUCAGAAUGCCGCGGUGAAUACGUUCCCGGGCCUUGUACACACCGCCCGUCACACCAUGGACCGUGGAUUGCACCAGAAGUAGAUAGUCUAACCUUCGGGAGG